This 427-nucleotide ribosomal RNA is filed under the name uncultured bacterium. RNAcentral describes it as "partial 16S ribosomal RNA". It matches the Rfam family "Bacterial small subunit ribosomal RNA", at positions 355 to 774 of the family's 1533-position model. The record is from RNAcentral.
UCGAGGAUCAUUCGCAAUGGACGAAAGUCUGACGAUGCGACGCUGCGUGGAGGAAGAAGGCCUUCGGGUUGUAAACUCCUGUCAUGAGGGAAAAAUAGCAAUGCGAUAACAUCAAGUUAACGGGAUGGUACCUCAAGAGGAAGCCACGGCUAACUCUGUGCCAGCAGCCGCGGUAAUACAGAGGUGGCGAGCGUUGUUCGGAUUUACUGGGCGUAAAGGGCGCGUAGGCGGCGAAGUGUGUGAGGUGUGAAAGCUCCGGGCUCAACCCGGAAAGUGCGCCUCAAACUGCUUUGCUAGAGUAUGGAAGGGGGAUGCGGAAUACAGGGUGUAGCGGUGAAAUGCGUUGAUAUCCUGUAGAACACCGGAGGCGAAGGCGGCAUCCUGGGACAUCACUGACGCUGAGGCGCGAAAGCAGGGGGAGCAAACA